UACGAAGGGGGCUAGCGUUGCUCGGAAUCACUGGGCGUAAAGCGCACGUAGGCGGCUUCUUAAGUCAGGGGUGAAAUCCUGGAGCUCAACUCCAGAACUGCCUUCGAUACUGCGGGUCUCGAGUCCGGGAGAGGUGAGUGGAAUUCCUAGUGUAGAGGUGAAAUUCGUAGAUAUUAGGAAGAACACCAGUGGCGAAGGCGGCUCACUGGCCCGGUACUGACGCUGAGGCGCGAAAGCGUGGGGAGCAAACAGG
This 253-nucleotide ribosomal RNA is filed under the name uncultured bacterium. Its description in RNAcentral is "partial 16S ribosomal RNA". It matches the Rfam family "Bacterial small subunit ribosomal RNA", at positions 524 to 776 of the family's 1533-position model. The record is from RNAcentral.